GAAACCCCCAACAUUUAGUUUAAAAUUCAAACCUUUUAAUUACCUUUAAAACUCUUAGAGCAGCCAAUAGUAGGCAUUAGCAUACAAGAUCAACCAAUAAAGAAGCUCUAAGCGAAGUAACAUAAACGUGUGUUUUUUGGAUUUAAAGAUUUUUGGUUUCUUAUAAAUAGUGAGCAAUCCACUUUUGAUCUUCAUAAACAAAUUUCUACUUCCCAAGAUUGUAUCUUCGACUUCUAAAACAAAACAUUUAAUUUAUCAAAAUGGUGGCCAUUAAGAAGACAACUUUUUUCCUUUUAUUCAUUGCCAUUGCAAUGAUCUUUGCUAGUGGAGUGUCUGCUGAUAGAGUUCCAGCAUGUGACGAGGUAUGCGGUCGUAUAAACCGUGAAAAGGAUUCAUGUUGUCAAGCUCAUGGAUACUCCUAUUCUACAGGAUGCCGCGGUGGAAUGCAGUGUGCGUGAAAACUUUCUUUAUUUUUAAAAACUAUUAAUCAUUGUAUACAAUAAAUAUUUAAAUUCAUAAAAUAAAACUACUUUUUAUUUAAAUUUGAAAAAGACAAAAAAUUUGUGUACAUUUUUUUUUUAAUUUCUAUAUCAAAAACUUAAGGUAUACUCGUAAGAAGUGAUUUUUUUUAAAUAUUUUGCUGUUUUCAACAAAAUUAAAAAAAGUCGUUGUCCAAAAUGAAAUAAAUAGAAAAUUUGUAUUUUUAAAGCCCACAAAAUAUCAUACUUUCUUAAAAAAAAAUUCAUGUCACUUCACUUCCUGGGUUAAUAUGAAAUUUUUGUCAAAAAAUAAAAUAAGAACGAGCUCUGAAAUGAUGCUGAAACCUCGAACCGAAAAUAAAACAUAUUUGUGCCUAAGAUCUUAUUUAGAACUAUAAAUAUUGAUUUAAUUGUUAAACUUUUCAUAACAAAUUUACUUUGUACUUCGAUAAGUAAUAUAUGCAAACACUAACAUAGAAAAAUCGGUCCGAUUUGUCGAAUAAAA
This is a long non-coding RNA of Eupeodes corollae, 984 nucleotides long. RefSeq lists it as uncharacterized. The transcript is spliced from 2 exons. The record is from RefSeq and is a predicted model, not a curated record. Lineage: Eukaryota; Metazoa; Arthropoda; Insecta; Diptera; Syrphidae.